AAACCAUGAUGAGGGCUUUUCCUCAAAAGGUACUUGAACCUUUCAUGUGCUUCGAAAAGUGUUUCAGAAUCACCUUGCUUGAAUGCAGAAAUCUCUUGUCUUAGUCU
Molecule: small nucleolar RNA, 107 nt
Organism: Dioscorea cayenensis subsp. rotundata (Guinea yam)
Lineage: Eukaryota; Viridiplantae; Streptophyta; Magnoliopsida; Dioscoreales; Dioscoreaceae
Source: RefSeq, a predicted model, not a curated record